AUUUUUUUUUUUUGGUACACUCGACCGGUUCACUUGAUUGGUUUGUGUUUUUGGUUUGCUGUUACUACGUAUUAACGUUUAUUUUUGAGUUUUGUCUGUUUUCAGGUUUCAUCAUGAGUAACUACAGUGGAGAAUCCUCUAUGGACCCUGAUUACAAUGUGGAUGAAGCUGAGUCCUUGUCCGCUAGACCGAGAGAGCAACAUAUUUACCAGAGCUUCAGGGAUGAAUUCAAACGCUCUGCAGCCCGACGUAAUCAGAGAAGAGCUGAAAUCGCCAGAGGAAAGAGGGCGAUGUCAAGUAGAUAUGAGCUGAUUGAUGAGGAUAUCGCAACUGAGUAUGAGCCAGAGUCAUGGCGCAAGGAGACGAAGCUGCUGAACAAACCUAACGAGGUUACAGUGGAGGAGUAUAUCAGGUUCUUUGAGAUGAAUGACUUCUGGGGAACGAGGUAUCCGUGCUAUGAGACUUUAGCCCAGCUGGGGUUACCGGAGGACGUACAGCAUCUGUUCGAGAAGUGUCAUCUGGAGACACUCAUGUCUUACCCUUACCCUGCCUAUAAGGAGGAGAAAAUCGAGUUUCUUUCCACGCUGCAAGUGGAGAUGUAUGAGGCGCUCACAGACUUUGAGCUGGAUACCAUGGGGUUAGGCUUCUUGACGUUCUCAGUGAAUGAACAGCGGUAUCAGCUUUCGAUCAAGAAGUUGGAAGAACUGUUUGGUUUCCCUAGUGGAAAGGGAACCAAACCCAGAUUUGAUAGAGAAGAGCUCAAGGAUUUGUGGGCCACUAUAGGGAACAAUCUACCGCUAAACUCGGCGCGGUCCAAGAGCAACCAAAUCCGGAGUCCUGUGAUCCGCUACUUUCAGAGAUCGGUUGCCAACGUCUUUUACUCCAGGGAAUCUACAGGCACCGUGUCUAACACGGACAUGGAGAUGAUAGAUUAUGCGCUUACAGGGAUUCUCCACCGGACGAAGGGAAAGAAUGUCUUGAGAGCGAUCUCAACAACGCACCACCAGUAAUGCCUCUGUUGAUCCAUCUGUGUGGAUACAGGAAGUGGGCGUUAACGAACGGAAAGAAGAAGGUGAGAGGAGCACUAUGCGUGGGUGGCGUUGUGACGCCAAUUCUGCAAGCUUGUGGAGUACCGUUCAAGGAACCAGGGUUAGCACCGAGGAUGAUGGACUUGGAUCAUUUGCGCAGAUGUGAGUUCUUGGAGUUUGACAUGGCUGGCGACUUUCACCACUACAGGUUCGAGCAUUCAUCGAUUAAAAUCGCCAACAUUCUUCUCCCCUGCAUUGACAUUACUAGGAUUCUCGAGGGCAGGAACAUUGACUUCAAGCCUGCGCUUGAAGAACUUUAUUUCGAGGACAGUCCACCAACUGAGGAGAUCAGUCAUACCGAAGGAGCUACAACAGAAGAUAUUGUUGAGACGGAUGAUAUAGAUGAGGCGGAGUUUGACACGAGCAUGUAUCAUUUCAGUGAGCAUAUACCUCCUACGAGGGAAAGCAGGAGUUUGAGCGAAGCUCACAGGAACAACAGCCAGCUGCAGAAGUGGUGCAUGAAACAGGACAAGUUACUCGCCAAGUGCCUUAGGGCUAUCAAGUUUCUGAAGAACAAGCUCAGCUGCUCCUCUUCCACUACAGCUAUUCCGCAGGGACAUCUCCCUCAGGACAUGCCUUCGAGGAGAUAUGACGCGCCCGAGCCAAGUCGGCGCAGGCCUGAACCUAGAGAGCAGGAGAUUCCGCAUGUCCCUCCGAGGCAUUCAUCAUUCGAGCCUCGUGAAUCUGGGAGGAAGAGGAGGACCCUACUCACUCGGUCUAGCAGUAGGAGUUGACGACUUCUACAGUCUCGUAGUUUACACGACCGCGGUGCUGGCCGCAGCAAAAGGAGAGAGGUCGAGUAUCCUCAGAGCGGUGCUGGCCGCCACAGAGCUGAUGAGGUCGAGUACCCACCUGCUGGAGCUGAUACAGAACAAGGUGGUUCGUCUAUGGCCUGGGAGCAAUCACAGGUAGCCAUUGACGAGCAACUACGUUCAUUCUUCGACUGAGGUAAGCGUCUCACUUCACCAUUGUAUUAUAUCAUCUGUUGUGAUUUGUUUCUUCAUUUUUUUGCUUCUGUGAUUGGAUUUGUCCUGAGUACUCUCUUCCAAGUUUAUGCGCACAAUGGACUGUGUGAUUUAAGUUUGGGGGAGGGCUCAGGAAGUGUGUGUUGCAUUGUAUAUAUUUUUGAGUCUACAUUCAUUUUUGAGUCUAUUUUUGAGAAAGCUUCUCCUAGAGUUAAGAGAAAAGAAAAGAAUGAUUAGAAAAAGGGCUUAAAAGAUUCAUGAAUGCAAAAGGUAGAGUUAAGUUCUUAUAUUGAGAUUGGAGAUGGGAUUACCAUUAGAGCUUCAUUUGACAUACUCCGGGUAGAUGGGAUCUUAUCUCUGUAUGCAUAGCUUGGGACUUACCUUUAGCAUUCUAAUAAAGUUUAAUCAUUUCUUGAGAGAUCCCCUGUUGCUGAAGCCUAUUCUAUAAGGGACCAUCUUUAUCUCUUGACCUUUUACCGUAGCCAAAUCAGUUCAUUGAUGAUGCAUUGCUUGAUACACGUUCCAGAACUAAUGAAUGUUAAAGGGAUUAGUAGAUUUGAAAACAUGUGUAGGUCGAGCAUAUGAGUCAGAUUGAUUGAUAAUGAGGCAUGGCUAACGUUUUUAAGUAGAAUGCAUUUAGUUUAGUUUCAUGUCUCUUUUCAUGCAUUCUUAGUCUCUUUUCCUUUUUUUGCACAUUUUGCAUUGCAUUGCAUAGCAUACUUGCAUUUGGAGUGUUUUGCAGGUGAAUUAGGUACUUUUGGACUCAACUUGGAGGUUUCUAGCACAAGGGAUGGACAAACUCGAGUUCGGGGGACCUAAGGAAGGAUUUGAAGUAUACUCGGCCUAUGUACUCGGCCUAUGUACUCGGCUGGAGGCCGAGAGGAGCACACGUGAAGAACAAGGAGCCUACUCGACCAAGGCACUCGGCUGAAGGCCGAGUGGUACAUUUAAGGAAGAAGAGAAGCCACUCGACCAAGCCACUCGGCCAAGAGCCGAGCUAUGUGACCAAGACCAAGCCACUCGGCUUUUCUACUCGGCCUAGGGCCGAGCGCUCCUGCGCCGACUUUCCUAUUUUGUCUUAUUCCCAAUUAGGGCAACCUAGGAUUGCGUAUAAAUAGACCUCUUAUGUUUUUGCCCAAAAUAUCUUUGUUUUGUCUGCUGGAUAUUAGGGUUCUUAGAUUUCUUUUGCAUUUUCUGGUUGUUGUGUUGAGAAUUUGGAUUUCAUUUCUUCUGGAAACUUGUUUAUCUCAUUGAGAUCUAUCAUUUUUUAAGUUUCUAAUGAUUUCUGGGUUUUAUGAAUUUUCUGGGUUUUGUUCUAUGAUGUUCUUCAUUGUUCUUGAGUAGUCUUCUUCAGAGUUCUUGAGGAUGGGUUAGGUUUAGGUGGAUUCCUCUUUUCUUUAGCUAGCUAAGUUUAUAAAUGCAUGAUUCCCUUCUGUUUUAGGAGUUCUUAAUGCUAUUUUCUUUCUGAUCAAUUGAAAAUUGAUUUCAGACUUUCUCCACCUAAUAAGUGUUUGAUGAAAUGUCUGAACCAACUAAUUUCAGAGAUUUGUAGAUUCUAGCCCAAGACAUUGGAUGUUUAGACUGCUUAUUGACUUUAAUAGAUUGGUGUUUAAAGCCUGCUUUAUUAUGUUUCAUCAAUGAAAAUUGAGAUUAGGAAGUUCUAAAGUUAUGAGAAUCAUUGUCACGAAAGUGGAUUGAUUUGGUUUUGAAUCUAUUGUCUAGGGAUAGCUUGAUUGAGUUUGUUAGUUAGCUAAUGGAUUGAGGAGUCCACUAAGACCAAUCACCCCAUUCUUAAGAGCUCUGUUUCGUUUAUUUGUGCAAAACUCGUGUUUUUAGUACUCUGUUCGUCUCGUGCAAAAUUGGUGUUUUUAGUAUUGUACUCGACCUGUUUACUCGUUUGCUCGACCGAGUGCUUUACCUAGUGCUUGGUUUACUUUCCGCUUUUGCUAUUUGAGUUCUUUAUUUUCUGCUUAGUGUAGUUUUGUUUCUGAAUUUAAUUGCAUGUUAACCUGUUGCUUAGGUUUAGUAGAAACACACCAAACCUAUUCACACUUGGCUUGACUUAGUAUUCUCUGAUCGUAUCCUGAUUGAUAGCAAUUACACCCAUUUGGAUUGAUACCUUAAAUGCUGCAAUGACAUAAGAUGCAUUUAGGGAAUUGACACACACAAAACCCUUGUAUCACCAACUCUGUUCAUUCUUCGACUAAGGUAAGUGCCUCACUUCACCAUUGUAUUAUAUCAUCUCUUGUAAUUUGUUCUUUAUUUUGUUUCUGUGAUUGGAUUUGUCAUGAGUAUCUCUUCCAAGUUUAGUCACACAGUGGACUCUGUGAUUUAUGUUUGGGGGAGGGCUCAGGAAGUGUGUGUUGCAUUGUAUAUAUUCUUGAGUCUACAUUCAUCUAAGGCAUAGAAAAACCAAAAAAAUUUCAA
This 4480-nucleotide small RNA is filed under the name Arabidopsis thaliana (thale cress). RNAcentral describes it as "ATSL207830". The stretch from base 1419 to 1639 matches the Rfam family "MIR854 microRNA precursor family". Lineage: Eukaryota; Viridiplantae; Streptophyta; Magnoliopsida; Brassicales; Brassicaceae. The record is from RNAcentral.